UACGAAGGGGGCUAGCGUUGCUCGGAAUCACUGGGCGUAAAGCGCACGUAGGCGGCUUGUUAAGUCAGGGGUGAAAUCCUGGAGCUCAACUCCAGAACUGCCUUUGAUACUGGCAAGCUUGGAGUCCGGGAGAGGUGAGUGGAACUGCGAGUGUAGAGGUGAAAUUCGUAGAUAUUCGCAAGAACACCAGUGGCGAAGGCGGCUCACUGGCCCGAUACUGACGCUGAGGUGCGAAAGCGUGGGGAGCAAACAGG
RNAcentral lists this ribosomal RNA (254 nucleotides) under uncultured bacterium. RNAcentral describes it as "partial 16S ribosomal RNA". It matches the Rfam family "Bacterial small subunit ribosomal RNA", at positions 524 to 776 of the family's 1533-position model. The record is from RNAcentral.